Molecule: ribosomal RNA, 493 nt
Filed under: uncultured bacterium
Lineage: Bacteria
Description: bacterial SSU rRNA
Rfam family: Bacterial small subunit ribosomal RNA
Source: RNAcentral
GGUGAACGCUAGCGGCAGGCCUAAUACAUGCAAGUCGAACGCUCAGUAGCAAUACUGGGAGUGGCGCACGGGUGCGUAACGCGUACACAAUCUACCUCUAAGCGGGGGACACCUCCUGGAAACGGGGAUUAAUACCGCAUAAUAUGCCGAGGUCGCAUGACUUUGGUAUUAAAGCAGCAAUGCACUUAGAGAUGAGUGUGCGUCCCAUUAGGUAGUUGGUGAGGUAACGGCUCACCAAGCCUAUGAUGGGUAGCCGGUCUGAGAGGAUGGUCGGCCACACGGGCACUGAGACACGGGCCCGACUCCUACGGGAGGCAGCAGUAAGGAAUAUUGGUCAAUGGUGGAAACACUGAACCAGCCAUGCCGCGUGGAGGAAUAAGGUCCUACGGAUUGUAAACUCCUUUUGACGAGGAAGAAAGUGUUAGAUUUAUCUAAUUUUGACGGUACUCGUAGAAUAAGCACCGGCUAACUCCGUGCCAGCAGCCGCGGUAAU